Molecule: ribosomal RNA, 496 nt
Filed under: uncultured Glomeromycotina
Lineage: Eukaryota; Fungi; Glomeromycota
Description: partial small subunit ribosomal RNA
Rfam family: Eukaryotic small subunit ribosomal RNA
Source: RNAcentral
CCAAUAGCGUAUAUUAAAGUUGUUGCAGUUAAAAAGCUCGUAGUUGAAUUUCGGGGUUCUACCGUUGGUCGGGCUACUGUCUGUACUGGCGUGUAGAAUUUCUACCUUCUGGGGAACUAUCAUGUUAUUAAUUUAGCGUGGUAGGAAACCAGGACCUUUACCUUGAAAAAAUUAGAGUGUUCAAAGCAGGCUUAUGUCUGAAUACAUUAGCAUGGAAUAAUAAAAUAGGACGGUGGUCCUGUUUUGUUGGUUUCUGAAUCACCGUAAUGAUUAAUAGGGAUAGUUGGGGGCAUUAGUAUUCAAUUGUCAGAGGUGAAAUUCUUGGAUUUAUUGAAGACUAACUACUGCGAAAGCAUUUGCCAAGGAUGUUUUCAUUAAUCAAGAACGAAAGUUAGGGGAUCGAAGACGAUCAGAUACCGUCGUAGUCUUAACCAUAAACUAUGCCGACUAGGGAUCGGACGAUGUUAAUUUUUCUUGACUCGUUCGGCGCCUUACG